ACCCCUGGUACAGGACGUUAAAAACGUCUGAACAAUUCAAUGUAUGGCUGGAGUUUGAAAAACAAACCAUCACCUGUACAAGCUACUGCAAAUGUGCCCAUUUGAUAUACAAAUACCCCAACACAGGUUUGCUGACACCUCUAAGUAUCCUGUCUGACUGCUCAGGCCCAUC
Molecule: long non-coding RNA, 172 nt
Organism: Gavialis gangeticus (Gharial)
Lineage: Eukaryota; Metazoa; Chordata; Crocodylia; Gavialidae
Exons: 3
Source: RefSeq, a predicted model, not a curated record